RNAcentral lists this long non-coding RNA (2172 nucleotides) under Gossypium barbadense (sea-island cotton). RNAcentral's name for it is "long non-coding RNA (GBAR_LNC015887)". The record is from RNAcentral. Lineage: Eukaryota; Viridiplantae; Streptophyta; Magnoliopsida; Malvales; Malvaceae.
UCAAGUCUUCCCUAAGCAGCCCAAACAACAAAGAAUCCUCGGCCAUUAGGCUAAGAAUAUUUGGGCUGCACAAAUGGAAUCUACUUCUUUCUUCGUCGGACCCUAGACGGGCUCUUUUGGUGGAAGUCCUACCUGGGUUAAAGGUAUAUAACACUUUUAACCCACAUACUAAACAAAAAUGUUAGCACUAUUUAUUUUUAUGCACUUUAUUUAAUCUUUGAAUUUUGUGUUUUUUUUAAAUUAUCGGAAAAAAGAUAGAAAAUGUGAAGAUGUAGCAUUCAAGCAUUGAUGGAUUUUGUUUUAUAUGUCGCAUAAUUAAUUAAUUACAAUUUUUAAAAAUAUUAAAAAAUAAAAAUAAAGGAAAUUAUUAAAAAUUUCAAAAGUUUAUUAAAAAAAAAGGAAAUACAGAAAAAAAAUAUUAAAAAAAUAAAUCCUAAAAACCAUGCAACUCUUCUCACAUGCAAUCUUCAACAGCUUUAGAAAUUAGAACCCAUUUUGUUCAACGCCCGCUUAUCAACCAUGCUUAAAUUCCUUAGCAAGAAAAUCAAGCGCCUCUUUGUUCCCGCCUCUGGUGGCCGUUCGUCAUCGGUUCGUCGCAUCCAGUGAGUUUUCCAACAAAUAUGGGAAAUGGAACCGAUGGUUGCGAGAGAUAUAGAAGCAGAAAGACGGCGAUAAAAGCCUAAAAACUUUGAUGCAUAGUUACAUACAAUUGCUAAUGGGGUGGGGGAGCUACUCUAAUUUUUUUAUAGUUAUUGAUAAACUGAUUAUUGAAUUAUAUGUUAGCAAUAAUUAAAUUGGAAAGAUUGCAAAAGUUCAAAAGUUAAGUGUCGCGAAAUUAAUGUAAAGAGAACUAAUUUGCAAAUAGCAUAAAAAUUAAAAGUGUGAAAUAAAAAUACUUGAAUUGAGAGUUUGAAUGAAUAGUUUAUGAUUGUGAAAUUAGUUCUAAGUGAAAUAAAAGUGAUAAUUUAAUGAAUAUUGAUUUUCAUGAAAAUAAUAAAUAAAUUAUAAAGAAUGUGAAGUUUUAUAUGCUAUUAAUUAAUUCUCUCAAUGGCUUACCUGAGUUUUCUCGAAGAGUUCGACAUCCCAGUGCCGGAUCUUCUGCUGCGCACUAUGGGCUAUCUGGGGAGAUAGGAAUGCUAGGGUUCAUAAGAACGGGGGCAAAUCUGGAAAAGAAAUGGCACGAUAUGUUCAGAGUUACAUAACAGAGUUAAAUGAGGUUGAUAAAAGAAGACCAAAAGUUACCAUAACUGUCAAAAAAUGGAGGAAGCCACCUGACCGGAUUGUUAAGAUCAACUUCGAUGGAGCUUAUGACGAUAUACAAAAUAGAUCGGCAGUGGGUAUAGUGGCCAGAGAUAGAGAGGGUACAGUUCUUCUCUCAUGUGCGAAGAAUCACCACCGAAUAUCAUCAGCUUUUGAGGCGGAAGCAGUCGCAUGUCGGAAAGCUCUCCAACUCGCCAUUGACAUGAAAUGGGAAAGUGUUAUUAUAGAAGGCGACUCUUUUUCAAUUAUAAGAAAAUGCAAGGCAAAAAGUCCAGAUAAAUCCUUGGUAAGUGCAUAUAUCUAUGAUAUUCACUAACUUAAGCUAAAAAUUAAAGAAUGCAGAUUUGAAUAUAUCCCGAGAUCAGCAAAUAGCCUUGCACAUAUCCUAGCAAAGGAAACGCUGAAGAGAAAGAUAGGAGUUUACCUGGUCGGAGGGGUCCCUGAAGUGGCGGAAGAACAAGCGGCAAGUGAAAGGGUAAGAGAACCAGAUUGAAUCGAAAAUGAGGAGGAAGGGAGAUAAGGAGAAUAUGAGAGGGCAGAAACAGAUUAAUUAAAGUCUGCUAGAUUGAAAUCGUCUUGAAAAAGAAAAUGAAGAUUUGAAAUGAAAAGACGAUGGAUCUGACACUGAUUGGGCAAGUGAGCAAGCAACAUUAAAUGCUUUAGAUUUGUUUUGAUUUUUACGGUUUCCUAGGAGCUUUAGUUUUUAUGAUUUAGUUUCUUUUGAAUGGGCCAAGUCCCAUGUCUGGUCUUUCUUUUCUUUAUUUUUAAAAACUAUUUUAUGUUAGUGUGUUUUAUUUAAUAGAAGCCCAAUCUGCAACCUUUUUAAAAAAAAAAAAUUAAUAAGUAAUGGUAAUGAAAAUGACAAUAUAGAUGGCAUGCCAUUAGGAAACUUUCAACGUGCAUAGUGCCGAC